UUGAGGCUUUGCCCCAAAGCCGGCUGUGUGCGUGCCAACUGCCUCUCAAGUCCAGUGCAAGUUCGCAUGUAACCAAGGCUCUUAAGGACCAAGUUCAGCUAAUCUGAGCUCAUCGCACCCAGUGCCACCCCACCGCUCUCAAGAUGCUGAGCCUGCAGCACCGCAGCGCAAGCCCCCCACUCACCCCUUAGCAGGGGCCUUUUAUUCUUUAAUUGGUCUUUUUCAUCUGUUUGAAGCUCAAAGCGUCAGUCUCUGGCCAGAAAUGCUUCAUUUAAAAAAAAAAAACACAACAGUUACUGGAACAGAGCCGAAGCCCCGCAGCACCCACAUACACCUCCUCCUGCGGCUGUCUAGCUGUGAAACGCGGUCCCCGCUUGACAGAGUCGAGGAGAGCUCGCUCGCGGCCAGCGUGAGUUGGCACCGGGCUCCAUCGGCUCAGCCCCUUCUUGCACCAGCCCGGGGUGAUGGGGCUGAAGCUCAUCACGGCAUGUUUGAAUUUUCACCUCUGGUAGCAACAGGUGGAAGGCCAAAACUCAAUUUAUACAAGCUAAAGUUGUGUUUACUUAUGCAAUAGGAGAUGAAGGGGGCAAGAUUAUCGCAAGAUAAUCGCUGCCUUGAUUAAUUAUAAAGUAAAGCCAGCUGCUUCCAAUUCUUGCACAAUAUAGGCUGCUUCCCAAGGAACCAGCCGGAACAGGGAAGUUUCAAUUGCUUUCCUCCUGAACUGUUUAAUUCCAAACUUAAGAAAAUAAUCACACUACAAACAGUCCCACAUGCAUCCCCCAAAAGUACUCACUGCUUAAACUGAACAGAUCGCUGCUUAAACAUGAAAAAAAAAAAACCAGUCAUACAAACACCAUUCAUUCAUCUGCGCUCAAUUAAAGAACACAGGAGCAGCUGAUGAAAACAUUUACAAGACAUUAUUAAAUCUUACAAGGGUGGGGGAAAGCCAAGAGGAAUCCAGACAUUCAAAUCCCUAUUUGCCUCAUUCCUCAGUGCAACCCUCGGGGACUGGCCACGAUGCCGACGGGCAGCGCAUCCCCGGAGCAACCCAGGGGCUGACCAUGUGUCCCCCAUCUCCUCGGGGUCCUGCUGGGCACCGCUGCUGCCCCUUGAGCCUCAGGAAAGAAACGCUCCCAGAGUGGACAAUUUAAGCAGAUUUUUGUGACCGCGAAUUCACCCAGGAGGCUACAUGACACUUGUAUGAAAGGGAACCUGCGCCACAGAGCUGCUGCGACAGGGAUCAGUAGGCCAAGACUCUCUCCAUCGCUCAUCCUCACAAACCAGAGAUUAGCGGAGUCCAACCAGCCCUAUUUCCAUUUAAUACAGACAUUGACAGGGGAUGCAUUUGACUUACGGCAUCACAUUCACAUUAAAUCCUGUCUCUGCACAGGCACUUAAGCUCCCCUGCAAAUAGAGGAGGGACCCAUUUGGAGAAAGGGUGUCUCAGCAUCACACCCAAAGCCUCUUGGCGCUCGGCAAAAGAACAAUCAUGAAGGUGGAGGACGGAACUCCAACACCUGGUUGCAAACGUGGGCACGCCUGGGCAGAUACCGCCUAAACCCAUCAAUCACGCAAGGGUUCCGAUACCCUUUGGAAAGCCAGCUCUAAGGCUCGCACCUGCCAAGACACUAAGAUGCUGAAGUACUUCAAUUAUUUUCAUGGCUGUGGUCUACAACUUCUUUCCCAUCCUGGAGAACAAAGUGCAGCCAAGGUGGUCACCCGGGUCUUGUGGCCGCCGUGCCCCUUACUCCCACACAACACAACACCAGCACUUCACCAGUUAAACCAGUUCACACAGCUGCUUUUUUGCCUCCCCCAUCAUAAAAAUGAAACUUGGAGUUCAGGCAUGAAUGCCCAAACUCAAUGGCAGGCAUUAAUCAGCCUCCAUCCACUCAGAGCUAUCCCACAACAAAGGAAUUAGUUCAAAAAACAGCUAUUUAAACAUCUGAUGUGGCACUUACCCUGGCAUUGAGGCCACCCGAUCCCUGGGUGAUGUAGCUACAGCAAUAAAAGCUCAAGUUUAGGCACAGUGAUAUCAGCGAGAAAUUCCAGGUACUUGGAUGGUCUCAUCCAAGAUACCUCUGUCUGCACGAGAGUUAUUGGGUGAAGUUAUGGAAUAUAUUUGGUCCUUUAGGAAAACACUGAGCUCUUUAAUUACUCAUGUCACAAGCAUAUCUGAAAAAAGCUGGAGGUUUGUGUUAAAUUUUCAGACAGAUUCUCAGGGAACAGGCAACCUAGAAAGUGGCAGUUCAGGACUUAAAUCACCCCCUUACUUGAGGCACUGCACAAGCAUGUGCUUAAACUGAGACUAAAAGAUGCUCAAGCUGCUGGGCUUUAUGGAAGAUGCACACCUAAACAUAAAAAAGGACAAGAAACGGAGCAAGAAAUGCUAUGGGGGAGAGGAGGCAGCCAGCUUUCUCAUUAGGAGAAGACAUACCAGAUUGCAGCUAUAUCUAAAUCCACACGGCAGGAACACAUCUUCAUCCCCACUGAAGCCAAGACCGAUUUUCAGCCCCAUGGAUUAGAAGGGAAAAAAACCUACCCCAAAACACCCAUCUCCCAAAUUAAUCAAUCUCGGGUUAUUUAUCCUGCUUUUGCACCAGUGUAGAAAGAAGGGAUCUAGCUAAAUUGUUUUGAUAUAGCUGGCAUUAAAAGAAAACCCAUUGUAAUGCCGGACAACUCGGUGCUGCGUGCACACAUGCUUUGCCGACCAAAAAGCCUUGCGACGUGCUCAACAACACGCACUCGAAACUCAGCCGCUACAGCUAAAAACCACACACAGCCAGAAAAAGAAAGCACUCCUGUGGCGGAGGAGAGGCUGUCAACGAGGUACCUUUGAGUGGAGCUUCUCAGUUUAUCUCCUCAACUGCACAAAAUCCAUUACAGCCAGAGAUGAAGUCAAAACACUAUUAAACAAAAAAAAAACGCCAACCCCAAAACACAGAAAAAGGCAGCGACUGUAACAGUAUGCAGUCUUGCACCGGUGCUGGGAUGCCCCGUCGGCCAGAGGUUUGCUGAACAGGUUGCUGGCGAGCUGACCCACGGGGCAAUCCCUUCUGCAGCUCCAUCAGGCAGCUGGGGUUUGCACCCCAAAACCCCAAACAGUCCAGAUGGGAGAAAACACCCGGCCAAGAAGAUGGCAGAAGCACAACUCUUUCAACCCAGCAGCUUUUUCUUGGGAUAGCUGUAGAAACACAUCGCCUUUAAAAACUUCAUCCAUCGAGAUGGCACCAACGACAAAAAGCUGAGCAGGAGCGGGGUGGGCAGCCACGCAACGCUAUCACCUAACACCUCCUUCAGGAACAGCUGGGAUAAGAAGAGCUCAUGGAAAGAAAGCCCAGGCUUUGAGAUAGAAUUUAAACAAUUUCACUGAGUAAUGGUUAAAACCAGAAACUUUAAUCUUCACCUGCACCUGGACAUAGAAAUGCAGACGAUGAACAACUGCGUCCUUAAGUGUCGGAGAAGUGGAGCACGACAGGAGCUGCCACUCCUACCUUCCAUCUACGUACGUCCCCGCAAAAGCAGGCUGCCUAAAAUCUGGUUAAUGUUAUUAACAACCCCAAUUCAGCUAGCAUUCAGACAACAGGCAUCAGUCCAUAACUUUCAGCAAAGGCCUUAACCAUGACAUUAAGACAACAUAUAUAAAUAUAUGAUGGGUCUGAACAGAAACACUGGCCAAAACUGGGACAAAGGAAGACGUCAUUCAAAAAUUUGUAUUCUUUGAGUGAAUUGAUCAGCUUCAAGUGGAAAAAAAUGAAGAGAGCGCGAUGUUUUGCUUUGGGAACAUCGACAUGCUUGGCUCUACCCUGCAAGGCCACCACCCCGCUGCCCCACGGUGAGGGACUUCACUUUGGGCACUGGAACCUGGAGGCUGCAACUCCAGCUGCGACAGGAGGGCAGGCAAAAUAUAUUUAAAUUGAAUUAAAACACUAAUGUACCAUCAGUAGCACUGGCAGUGAAUAUAUGGUGAUUUUAUGUUCACGUAUUAUAUUUAUGCGUGCAUGUGUAUAUACCUGAUAUUUUAAAAAUUCAGUAGUAAACCUU
Phalacrocorax carbo (great cormorant) is the source of this 4044-nucleotide non-coding RNA. Lineage: Eukaryota; Metazoa; Chordata; Aves; Suliformes; Phalacrocoracidae. The record is from RefSeq and is a predicted model, not a curated record.